GAUGAACGCUGGCGGCGUGCCUAAUACAUGCAAGUCGAGCGAACGGACGAGAAGCUUGCUUUUCUGAUGUUAGCGGCGGACGGGUGAGUAACACGUGGAUAACCUACCUAUAAGACUGGGAUAACCUCGGGAAACCGGAGCUAAUACCGGAUAAUAUUUUGAACCGCAUGGUUCAAAAGUGAAAGACGGUCUUGCUGUCACUUAUAGAUGGAUCCGCGCUGCAUUAGCUAGUUGGUAAGGUAACGGCUUACCAAGGCAACGAUGCAUAGCCGACCUGAGAGGGUGAUCGGCCACACUGGAACUGAGACACGGUCCAGACUCCUACGGGAGGCAGCGGUAGGGAAUCUUCCGCAAUGGGCGAAAGCCUGACGGAGCAACGCCGCGUGAGUGAUGAAGGUCUUCGGAUCGUAAAACUCUGUUAUUAGGGAAGAACAUAUGUGUAAGUAACUGUGCACAUCUUGACGGUACCUAAUCAGAAAGCCACGGCUAACUACGUGCCAGCAGCCGCGGUAAUACGUAGGUGGCAAGCGUUAUCCGGAAUUAUUGGGCGUAAAGCGCGCGUAGGCGGUUUUUUAAGUCUGAUGUGAAAGCCCACGGCUCAACCGUGGAGGGUCAUUGGAAACUGGAAAACUUGAGUGCAGAAGAGGAAAGUGGAAUUCCAUGUGUAGCGGUGAAAUGCGCAGAGAUGUGGAGGAACACCAGUGGCGAAGGCGACUUUCUGGUCUGUAACUGACGCUGAUGUGCGAAAGCGUGGGGAUCAAACAGGAUUAGAUACCCUGGUAGUCCACGCCGUAAACGAUGAGUGCUAAGUGUUAGGGGGUUUCCGCCCCUUAGUGCUGCAGCUAACGCAUUAAGCACUCCGCCUGGGGAGUACGACCGCAAGGUUGAAACUCAAAGGAAUUGACGGGGGCCCGCACAAGCGGUGGAGCAUGUGGUUUAAUUCGAAGCAACGCGAAGAACCUUACCAAAUCUUGACAUCCUUUGACAACUCUAGAGAUAGAGCCUUCCCCUUCGGGGGACAAAGUGACAGGUGGUGCAUGGUUGUCGUCAGCUCGUGUCGUGAGAUGUUGGGUUAAGUCCCGCAACGAGCGCAACCCUUAAGCUUAGUUGCCAUCAUUAAGUUGGGCACUCUAAGUUGACUGCCGGUGACAAACCGGAGGAAGGUGGGGAUGACGUCAAAUCAUCAUGCCCCUUAUGAUUUGGGCUACACACGUGCUACAAUGGACAAUACAAAGGGCAGCGAAACCGCGAGGUCAAGCAAAUCCCAUAAAGUUGUUCUCAGUUCGGAUUGUAGUCUGCAACUCGACUACAUGAAGCUGGAAUCGCUAGUAAUCGUAGAUCAGCAUGCUACGGUGAAUACGUUCCCGGGUCU
RNAcentral lists this ribosomal RNA (1372 nucleotides) under uncultured bacterium. RNAcentral's name for it is "bacterial SSU rRNA". It matches the Rfam family "Bacterial small subunit ribosomal RNA", at positions 28 to 1381 of the family's 1533-position model. The record is from RNAcentral.